UACGUAGGGUGCGAGCGUUAAUCGGACUUACUGGGCGUAACGCGUGCGCAGGCGGUUUUAUAAGCCAGAUGUGAAAGCCCCGGGCUCAACCUGGGAAUGGCAUUUGGGACUGUAAGGCUGGAGUAUGGCAGAGGAGACUAGAAUUCCUGGUGUAGCAGUGAAAUGCGUAGAUAUCAGGAGGAAUACCGAUGGCGAAGGCAGGUCUCUGGGCCAAUACUGACGCUCAUGCACGAAAGCGUGGGGAGCAAACAGG
This 253-nucleotide ribosomal RNA is filed under the name uncultured bacterium. RNAcentral describes it as "partial 16S ribosomal RNA". It matches the Rfam family "Bacterial small subunit ribosomal RNA", at positions 524 to 776 of the family's 1533-position model. The record is from RNAcentral.